AGAGUUUGAUCCUGGCUCAGGAUGAAUGCUGAGCGGCGUGCCUAAUACAUGCAAGUCGAACGGAACUUCUUUAUCACCGAGUGCUUGCACUCACCGAUAAAGAGUUGAGUGGCGAACGGGUGAGUAACACGUGGGCAACCUGCCCAAAAGAGGGGGAUAACACUUGGAAACAGGUGCUAAUACCGCAUACCAUAGUUACCGCAUGGUAACUAUGUAAAAGGUGGCUAUGCUACCGCUUUUGGAUGGGCCCGCGGCGCAUUAGCUAGUUGGUGGGGUAAAGGCUUACCAAGGCAAUGAUGCGUAGCCGAACUGAGAGGUUGAUCGGCCACAUUGGGACUGAGACACGGCCCAAACUCCUACGGGAGGCAGCAGUAGGGAAUCUUCCACAAUGGGCGAAAGCCUGAUGGAGCAACGCCGCGUGGGUGAAGAAGGUCUUCGGAUCGUAAAACCCUGUUGUUAGAGAAGAAAGUGCGUGAGAGUAACUGUUCACGUUUCGACGGUAUCUAACCAGAAAGCCACGGCUAACUACGUGCCAGCAGCCGCGGUAAUACGUAGGUGGCAAGCGCUAUCCGGAUUUAUUGGGCGUAAAGGGAACGCAGGCGGUCUUUUAAGUCUGAUGUGAAAGCCUUCGGCUUAACCGGAGUAGUGCAUUGGAAACUGGGAGACUUGAGUGCAGAAGAGGAGAGUGGAACUCCAUGUGUAGCGGUGAAAUGCGUAGAUAUAUGGAAGAACACCAGUGGCGAAAAGCGGCUCUUGGGUCUGUUACUGACGCUGAGGCACGAAAGCGUGGGGAGCAAAUAGGAUUAGAUACCCUAGUAGUCCACGCCGUAAACGAUGAGGACCAAGUGUUGGGGAAGACCCAGUGCUGCAGUUAACGCAGUGAGUCCUCCGCCUGGGGAGUAUGCACGCAAGUGUGAAACUCAAAGGAAUUGACGGGGGCCCGCACAAGCGGUGGAGUAUGUGGUUUAAUUCGAAGCAACGCGAAGAACCUUACCAGGCCUUGACAUAGGGUGCGAAGCUGUGGAGACAUAGUGGAGGUAAACAUCCAUACAGGUGGUGCAUGGUUGUCGUCAGCUCGUGUCGUGAGAUGUUCAGUUAAGUCUGGCAACGAGCGCAACCCUCGUGAUGUGUUACCAAUAUCGAGUUAGGGACUCACAUCAGACUGCCGGUGAGAAACCGGAGGAAGGCGGGGAUGACGUCAAAUCAUCAUGCCCCUUAUGGCCUGGGCUACACACGUACUACAAUGGCGGCGACAGAGGGCAGCGAGCCUGCGAAGGCAAGCGAAUCCCAAAAAAGCCGUCCCAGUUCGGAUUGGAGUCUGCAACCCGACUCCAUGAAGUUGGAAUCGCUAGUAAUCGCGGAUCAGCAUGCCGCGGUGAAUACGUUCUCGGGCCUUGCACACACCGCCCGUCAA
Molecule: ribosomal RNA, 1414 nt
Filed under: uncultured bacterium
Lineage: Bacteria
Description: bacterial SSU rRNA
Rfam family: Bacterial small subunit ribosomal RNA
Source: RNAcentral